AAUAAAUACACCACAGCAAUAACGAAACGCGCUCCGCGCUGAACGAAUAAAUAUAUUUUUGGUGUGAAUACGAUGACCCAUACUUCUGUUAAAUACUGGUCGUGGAUGAGCGUCUUCUCUGUAUCGCUUCUCUUCUGGUGCCAGCUCGUCUGGAUGUGGAUCGCCUAAUCCUCUGAAAAACCUCGCUCCGGCGAGGUUUUUUGUUU
RNAcentral lists this small RNA (206 nucleotides) under Phytobacter massiliensis. RNAcentral's name for it is "Enterobacterial sRNA STnc180". It matches the Rfam family "Enterobacterial sRNA STnc180". The record is from RNAcentral. Lineage: Bacteria; Pseudomonadati; Pseudomonadota; Gammaproteobacteria; Enterobacterales; Enterobacteriaceae.